UGAAUGCAGUGACUGUAAGUCUCUCUGGAUAAGAGUGUCUGCUAAAUGACUGAAC
Molecule: non-coding RNA, 55 nt
Organism: Salmo salar (Atlantic salmon)
Lineage: Eukaryota; Metazoa; Chordata; Actinopteri; Salmoniformes; Salmonidae
Source: Rfam